GUUAUGGAGCCGGAGGAUCGGCCGGGAGGCGGGGAACCGCCGGAGCCUGGUGGGGACCCUGACUCCGCUACGAACCUGGGACCCUGCUCGCGGGGCUUCGUCCCGCAGAAGGAGAUUGUCUACAACAAGCUGCUUCCCUACGCCGAGCGGCUGGACGACGAGUCCGAUUUGCUGCUGGCCCAGAUCAAAGGCAACCUGGGCCGGGCCGUGCAGCUGCAGGAGCUGUGGCCGGGGGGCCUCUUCUGGACUAGGAAACUCUCCACAUAUAUUCGGCUUUAUGGAAGAAAAUUUAGCAAAGAAGAUCAUGUACUUUUUAUCAAGUUAUUAUAUGAGCUGGUAUCAAUUCCAAAGCUGGAGAUCAGCAUGAUGCAGGGAUUUGCCCGUCUCUUGAUAAAUCUUUUAAAGAAAAAAGAACUUCUUUCCAGAGAUGACUUGGAGUUACCCUGGAGACCACUUUAUGACAUGGUAGAACGAAUAUUAUACUCCAAAACAGAACAUCUGGGAUUAAAUUGGUUUCCUAAUUCUGUAGAAAAUGUUCUAAAAACACUCGUGAAAAGCUGCCGACCGUACUUUCCUGAGGAUGCUACAGCAGAGAUGUUGGAAGAAUGGCGGCCUUUAAUGUGUCCUUUUGAUGUUACAAUGCAGAAGGCUAUCACUUAUUUUGAAAUAUUUCUUCCUACCUCUCUCCCUCCAGAACUUCAUCAUAAAGGUUUUAAGCUUUGGUUUGAUGAGUUAAUUGGCCUUUGGGUUUCAGUGCAGAAUCUCCCACAGUGGGAGGGGCAACUAGUAAAUCUCUUUGCUCGUUUGGCCACAGAUAAUAUAGGGUACAUAGAUUGGGAUCCAUAUGUACCAAAGAUAUUUACAAGAAUUCUCAGAAGUUUGAAUCUCCCAGUGGGAAGCAAUCAAGUUUUAGUUCCAAGAUUCUUAACAAAUGCUUAUGAUAUAGGGCAUGCAGUAGUAUGGAUCACUGCCAUGAUGGGUGGACCAAGUAAGUUAGUGCAAAAGCACCUGACUGGUCUAUUUAACAGCAUUGCAUCUUUCUACCAUCCUUCAAAUAAUGGUCGCUGGCUGAACAAGUUAAUGAAACUACUCCAGAGAUUGCCAAACAGUGUUGUUAGACGAUUACAUCGUGAACGAUACAAGAAGGCUUCUUGGCUAACUCCUGUGCCUGAUAGCCAUAAGCUAACAGAUCAAGAUGUUACAGACUUUGUACAAUGCAUUAUUCAGCCUGUUCUUUUGGCUAUGUUCAGCAAAACAGGUAGCCUCGAGGCAGCUCAAGCUCUACAGAAUCUUGCACUUAUGCGACCAGAGUUAGUAAUUCCACCUGUACUUGAAAGAACGUAUCCUGCCCUAGAGACAUUAACAGAACCUCACCAACUCACCGCCACUUUAAGUUGUGUGAUUGGAGUAGCUCGUAGUCUAGUGUCAGGGGGCAAAUGGUUUCCUGAAGGUCCAACACACAUGCUACCUCUGUUGAUGAGAGCGUUACCUGGCGUGGAUCCAAAUGACUUUAGUAAAUGCAUGAUCACAUUCCAGUUUAUAGCAACAUUUUCCACUCUGGUGCCUUUAGUAGAUUGUUCAUCUGUACUUCAAGAAAGAAAUGACCUCACAGAAGUGGAAAAGGAGCUGUGCUCUGCUACAGCUGAAUUUGAAGAUUUUGUCUUACAAUUUAUGGACAGGUGUUUUGGACUUAUAGAAAGUAGCACAUUGGAACAAACAAGAGAGGAGACAGAAACUGAAAAGAUGACCCACUUGGAAAGUUUGGUGGAAUUAGGCCUCUCUUCUACUUUCAGUACGAUACUCACCCAAUGUUCUAAUGAGAUAUUUAAGGUUGCCCUGCAGAAAGUUUUUAAUUUUGCUGUUUCAAACAUAUUUGAAACUAGAGUAGCAGGUCGCAUGGUGGCAGACAUGUGCCGAGCUGCUGUAAAGUGCUGCCCAGAAGAAUCUUUGAAGAUCUUUGUUCCCCAUUGCUGCAGUGUUAUAACUCAACUUACAAUAAAUGAUGAUGUCUUGAAUGAAGAAGAGCUAGAUAAGGAAUUAUUGUGGAAUCUCCAACUUUUGUCUGAGAUUACUCGAGUUGAUGGAAAGAAGUUGUUGCCUUACAAAGAAGAGCUGGUAAAGAUUCUCCAUCGAACCUUACAUUUAACCUGUAAACAGGGUUACACUUUGUCUUGUAAUCUCUUACAUCACCUUUUGCGAUCAACUACGCUUAUCUACCCUACGGAAUACUGCAGUGUGCCAGGUGGCUUUAACAAGCCUCCUUCUGAAUACUUUCCUAUCAAGGACUGGGGAAAACCAGGUGAUUUGUGGAAUCUAGGUAUCCAGUGGCAUGUACCUUCACAUGAAGAAAUAACCUUUGCCUAUUAUUUACUGGAUUCCUUUCUUCAGCCUGAGCUUAUCAAGCUUCAACUCUAUGCAAAUGGAGAAGUAGAAAUGUCCAGAGAUGAUGUACAACAGCGUUUGACCAUAGUUCACAACUGUUUGAUUGGUUCAGGGAACCUUCUACCCCCUUUGAAAGGAGAGCAGAUUACUCAUUUGGUGCCAAGUAUGGUAUCUUUGGAAGAAACGAAAUUGUACACUGGUCUUGACUAUGAUUUUUCUAGAGAGAACCACCGAGAAGCAAUUGCUAAGGUUAUAAGAAAGCUUCUCCAUCACAUACUUGAUAACUCUGAAGAUGAUACCAAAUCAUUGUUUCUUAUCAUAAAGAUCAUAGGGGACCUCUUGCAAUUUCAAGGUUCUCACAAGCAUGAAUUUGACUCACGAUGGAAGAGUUUUAACCUAGUGAAGAAGUCAAUGGAGAAUCGGCUCCAAGGGAAAAAACAGCAUAUUAGAGCAUUGCUAAUUGAUAGAGUAAUGUUGCAGCAUGAGCUGAGAACAUUAACUGUUGAAGGUUGUGAAUACAAAAAAGUACACCAAGAUAUGAUCAGAGACCUUCUUCGUUUGUCUACAAGUUCAUAUGGCCAGGUUAGGAAUAAAGCUCAACAAACAUUUUUCACAGCUCUGGGAACAUAUACAUUUUGCUGCAGAGAUAUAAUUCCUUUGGUUUUAGAAUUCUUGCAGCCAGACAGACAAGAUGUCACUCAACAGCAAUUCAAAGGUGCCUUGUAUUGUCUACUUGGAAACCACAGUGGAGUGUGCCUAGCAAAUCUUCAUGACUGGGAUUGUAUUGUACAGACAUGGCCAGCAAUUGUUUCUUCGGGGCUAAGCAAAGCAAUGUCCCUAGAAAAGCCAUCAAUAGUCAGGCUAUUUGAUGAUCUUGCAGAAAAGAUUCAUAGACAAUAUGAAACAAUUGGACUGGAUUUCACAGUUCCACAGACAUGUGUUGCAAUAGGUGUCUUAAUCCAACAGUCAAAAUAUCCCUCUGCCAACCAACCAUUGCUUAGCCCAGAGGAAAUUCAGUUAGGAAUUCAACGACAGCAAGAGAAAAAUGCUGAGGCCUUACAGAACUAUGAAAACCUGGUACAUACUUUGUUAGACUGUGUGGAUCAAAGAAAUCUCCCUUGGAAAUUUGAACAUAUAGGCAUUGGCUUUCUGUCCCUGCUCUUGAGAGAUGAUCGAGUUCUGCCUCUUCGUGCCAUAAAAUUCUUUGUGCAGAGUCUUAACCAUGAUGCAAUUGUGGUUCGCAAGAUGGCUAUCUCAGCAGUUGCUGGCAUUCUCAAGCAGCUGAAGAGAGCACACAAAAAGCUUUCCAUCUGUCCAUAUGAAAUCAGUACUACUCCUAAACCUUCCUGCAUACUUGCUGGUGACAGACCUGAUAACCAAUGGAUGCAUUAUGAUAGUAAAAAUAUACCAAGAACUAAAACAGAAUGGGAAUCAAGUUGUUUUGUGGAAAAAACACACUGGGGAUACUACACUUGGCCUCAGAAUAUGGUUGUUUAUGCGCCUGUAGAAGAGCAACCAAAGCUUGGCAGAAGUCGGGAAGAUAUGACUGAGGCAGAACAGAUUAUUUUUGAUCAUUUUUCCAAUCCUAAAUUUGUUGAGCAGUUAAUAAAUUUUUUAUCUUUAGAAGACAGAAAAGGAAAAGACAAAUUUAAUCCUCGUCGGUUUUGCCUCUUCAAGGGUGUAUUCAGGAACUUUGAUGAUGCCUUUUUGCCAGUUUUGAAGCCUCACUUAGAACGUCUAGUUUCAGAUUCACACGAGAGCACCCAGCGCUGUGUAGCAGAAAUUAUAGCUGGCUUGAUCAGAGGUUCUAAGCAUUGGACAUUUGAAAAGGUAGAAAGACUUUGGGAGCUUCUUUGUCCCCUGCUUAGAACAGCAUUGUGUAACAUUACAGUGGAAACAUAUAAUGAUUGGGGAACUUGUAUAGCAACUUCCUGUGAAAGCAGAGAUCCUCGGAAACUUCAUUGGCUGUUUGAGUUGUUAUUGGAGUCUCCGUUGAGUGGUGAAGGAGGAUCUUUUGUAGAUGCAUGUCGACUAUAUGUUCUACAAGGUGGGCUUGCCCAGCAAGAAUGGAGGGUACCUGAGCUGUUACACAGGUUACUGAAGUACUUAGAACCCAAACUCACUCAAGUUUACAAGAAUGUCAGGGAAAGAAUAGGGAGUGUACUGACUUAUAUAUUCAUGAUAGAUGUUUCUUUGCCAAACACUGCGCCAACAAAAUCUCCUCGUGUUCCUGAAUUCACUGCCCGUAUCCUGGAGAAACUAAAACCCCUCAUGGAGGUAGAUGAAGAAAUCCAGAAUCAUGUUAUGGAAGAGAAUGGAGUUGGUGAAGAAGAUGAAAGAACUCAGGGCAUCAAAUUAUUGAAAACCAUACUAAAGUGGCUGAUGGCAAGCGCAGGACGAUCCUUUUCUACGGCGGUCACAGAGCAGCUCCAGCUUUUGCCCUUGUUUUUUAAGAUUGCCCCAGUUGAAAAUGAUAAUAGCUAUGAUGAAUUAAAAAGAGAUGCAAAAUUGUGUCUUUCCUUAAUGUCUCAGGGGUUGCUUUAUCCUCAACAAGUGCCUUUGGUGCUUCAGGUGCUAAAACAAACAGCAAGAAGCAGUUCUUGGCAUGCUAGAUACACGGUACUAACCUACCUCCAAACCAUGGUAUUCUAUAAUCUCUUUACUUUCCUAAAUAAUGAAGAAGCAGUUAAAGAUAUCAGAUGGCUUGUUAUAAGUCUUUUGGAAGAUGAACAGCUAGAGGUUCGAGAAAUGGCUGCUACCACCCUAAGUGGGCUAUUGCAGUGUAACUUCCUUACCAUGGAUGGCCCUAUGCAGAUUCACUUUGAGCAGCUUUGCAAGACAAAGCUACCUAAGAAAAGAAAACGAGAUCCUGGCACAGUGGGAGACACUAUUCCAUCCGCAGAAUUGGUCAAUCGCCAUGCUGGAGUGCUAGGAAUUGGUGCAUGUAUUUUAUCUAGUCCCUAUGAUGUCCCUACCUGGAUGCCACAGCUCCUGAUGAAUCUCAGUGCACACCUAAAUGAUCCCCAGCCAAUUGAGAUGACUGUAAAGAAGACUUUAUCCAAUUUCCGAAGAACACACCAUGACAACUGGCAGGAGCACAAACAGCAAUUCACUGAUGAUCAGUUGCUUGUGCUCACUGAUCUCCUGGUGUCCCCAUGCUAUUAUGCAUAGAAAAGUUCUUCAUUAAUGAGGGAAGCCUCAGAAACCUUUCUGCAGUGAUAGAGGAAACUCAAAGAAAUUUCAUGUAUAAAAACUUUUAGACUUGGAAAUCCUGAUGCCUAAUUGAAACUCUCCCUCCUCCUUCCCCAAUACAGAUGAGUAGCCCUAACUUCAGGCUCUUUUCAUCAAAAAUUCCAGUUCCUCAGAAUCACUGAAUCAAGACUUUCAGAGUUGGAAAAAUCCUCGUUGACCAUCUAGCCUAACUUAGACCUGAAAAGGAUUCUCUACUACAAAAUACUCAACAAGUGGUCAUCUAGUGGUCAUCUAACCUCUGCAUGAAGACCUCCAAUGAGGAGGAACCGAUACUUUCCAAAGCAGCCUAUUUCACUUAUGGAUAUCCAAAAUUGUUAGGAAGUUUUCCCAGAUGAUAAGCCUAAAUUUGCCUCUUUAUUUUUCUACCUGUUGUUUCUAUUCAUCCUCAGAAGACAGAACAAGUUUAAUCUCUUUGCCACUUACCUCUUCAAAUACUUGAAAACAAUCAUUACUUGCCCUGAGUUUGCUCUUCUACAGGAUAAGCAUUCUCAGUCCCUUCAGUUAAUCCUCAUCAUAGAAAUUCAAGGCCUUUUACCAUCCUGGUCUAUGAAGGAGAAUGAUAUCUGGACUGCAAAAAAAAAAAAAAAAAAAAAGUAGAAAAAUGGAUAAUAAAGAGUUAAUAACCUAAGAGAAUCAGAGGGAUAGUAAGAGAGUAUCUAAUUGCCCUUGUUGAAUUUGUCAUCUGGCUCAGAGGAACUAAUCUCAGGUAUUGAAAGAACUGACAGAUAUGAUUGUUAAGCAAUUUAUCAGUAAUCUCUGAAAGGUCCUUAAAAAAUCCUCAAGAUUGAAAAAGAUUAUUUGUUGUUUUGAUUUUUAAAAGGGAAGAUGAGAAUCUAAAAAUUGUGGGUCAAACUAUAAGCAAGCUUAACUUGGGUUCCUAGAAAAUUUUAGAAAAUAGUACUAAAGAAAUGUCAGUACUAAAAAAACUGUAGAAAAAGUAGUGAUCAUUAAGUAUCAUCAUGGCUUCAUCAAGGACAGCUCAUAUCUGACUAACUUCCUUUCCUUUUUGGACACUGGUAUUUCAGAGGGAUGCUGGAAAUAUAGUUUACUAGGAUUUUUAACAAAGGAUUUGACACAGUAACUCAUGCUGUUCUUGUGUAUAGAACUCAAGAUACUGGUUAGGUAAUACAAUUGGAUGAAUCUGGAACUGAUUGGAUGGCUGGCUUCAAAGAGUAAACAUUUCUAUUGUGAGGUUCAUUUGGAAGUAAGAGUGCUCCAGGAAUGUAAGUGUUGUUCUAUGCUGUUUGAUAUUUUUAUCAGUGAUAAACACAAAACUGGAAGGGAUCAAUAAUAUUUAGAUGGCAAAAGUCCCAAAAGAUCUUGAUAGAUUAGAACUCUAUACUGAAUCUCACUUGGUGAACUUUAAUAGAGACAAAUAAAAAGUCUUCCAUUUAGGAUUUUUAAAAAUCAGCUUGACAAGUAUACCACAAGAUGCUAUGAAGACAGCAGUUCAUCUGAAGAACUGGCGUUUUCAUAGACUGCAGACUCCAUAUGUAUCUAUCUUGGGACACAACAGUACCUAUGAAAAAGGACAUGUGAAUUCAUUUCUGUGGUUGUAGAUCACAAUCUGUUAAUUAGAAAAUAGCAGAAAAGUCUUAGGGUGUCUCUAGAGCAUCUUGAGAGAUUAAGUGAGUUACCCAGAGUCACAGGGUUAUUAUCAAUAAGCUUUUAUUUUAUACCUCUCUGUGUCAGAAACCAGAGAUAGUGUUUUUUUUUUUAAUAAAAUGGUCUGUAUAAGUAGAUAUGAAAUAUAUGCAAAGUAAAUAUAAAGUAAUUUCACUAUUCUCAUCUAUUUCUAUCUUUUCAAUUGAACCAGUUAAUCAGUCAAACAUGGUUCCUGAGGUGCCUUAUAAUCCUAGAUUUCCGAUUCUGAGAUCCUCUUUAUUUAAUGCCUACUGUGUACUAGGUACUGUGCUAGGUGCUCUAGUGCUACAAAGACAAAUAUGAAAUGCCCUCCAGAAGUUUACAUUCUAACAAGGAAACAUGUAAAUGUAAGUAUAUGUCAUAUAUAGUGAUAGAGAUUGGACCUGUGAUUGCCUUAGUAUAUGGACCUUCCAGCCAAGGAAAUUUCUUCUACAGAAACAAGUCAGCAUUUUCUCUACAAUUUAUAUAUAGUCUGAGUUACCUCAGAUACUAAAGUGUAAUGACUUGAUAGCCUCAAGCAGCUUAUUUCAGAAGGACUUGAUGCUUUUAACUUUGAGGUUGACUUUAGACAUAAUAGUCUGCCUUUAAAAUACAUAUAUGUAGUACAUAUUUGCAAAUGCCAUAUAAAGAAAAUAUAAAGUUAGUGUGUGGGGAAGAUUUCAAUCUCGGGUGACCCUUGAAAAUGUUGUGAGCCACAUGUGGUAUGUUUAAUACUAGUUUAAAUAUUUGCCUGGGGUUAUCUUUUUCCACUCUCUCCACUCCGCUUUCAGAACCAUGAUGAGGGGAAUUUAGCUAUUGUUCCUGCAGUUAUAUCACUCUCCUCUAAGGCCCUACUCAUUGGCCUAGCCAUUUGUUAGAUCAACAUACCUUCCUGGCCACUACUCCCCUUCUGUUGCCAGUUCCUUAGCACAUUAAAGUGGAAAGCUCUUAGCUCCUAAAUGGAAUGCUUCUUACAUCCAUCCAUCUGAACAGCAACAGGAAACCACUGGAGCUUCUUCAGCUCCAGUGGAGUGAAAAUAUUAGAUCUGUGCUUUUGAAGCAUUAGUUUGGCAACUGUGGAGAAUGGAUUGGAAAGGCAAAAGACUGCAGGCUGGCAGAGAGAUCAGCUUGGAAAGUGGCAGAAGUAGGUGAGGAACCCAGGCACCCCUGACAAUGUAUACCUCACUUCCUCUGUAUAUAUUGAUACAACAAAUAAAUAAAGCUCAUGUAGUCUUAAUCUGUAGUGAGGAAGAGAUGUCCAGAACUACAGUGGUGAUCCUCCUCCUAUAGAGGCAAUUGAGCAUAGUAGAUAGUAGGCUGGAGGUGGAAGCAUGAAGAGCUGGGUUCAAAAUCUUCCUCAACACAUAAUGGCUAUACAGUGUUAAGUAACAGCCCCUUUGAGCCUUAGUUUCCUCAUCUGUAAGACUGGAAUAAGAGUGUUGUGAGAUUCAAGUAAGUUUGUUUAAAGCACUUUCCAUCCCUGAAGGUGUUCUAUCAUUGUCAUUACUACAUAGGCUCCUUGUUUAGACCACAUUUGAAAUUGCACAGUUCCGGAUACCAUAUUUUGGAAAGGCCAUUGAUGAAAGGUAACAUAGUAGAGUCAAUAACGAGCUAGGAAGAUAAGUUCAAAUCCCCCUCUGAUGAAUAUUGACUGUGUGACCUUGGGCAAGUCACUUCAUCUCAGUGCUCUAAGCCGUCCUUUUAAGAUGACAUAUUGUAGUGGGGUAUCUAGAUGGUACAAUGAUUAGAGGACCAGCCCUGGAGUCAGGAGGACCAGUUUGAAUUCAGCCCCAGAUGCUCAACACUUCCUAACUGUGUGACCCUGGGCAAGUCACUUAAUUCCAAUUCUCUCUCAAAAAGAAAAAGAAAACAAGUGUAGGAUGAUAUAUUGCAGAGAAGGUUAAGACCUUUUUUUGGCUAAGACGUGUAUUGGCAAAAUCUAAGUCCCACCUGGGAGGGAACUCCCUAUACUUAGGACAUUGCAGGUUAUCAUUAUUGAUAAAUUAGUGAGUAUUCAGAUGAAGGCAACAAGGAGUCCAUCUUCAGACAUUUAUUAGCUGUGUAACCUGGUUAGGCUUCUUAACCUGGCUGCCUCGGUUUCCUCAACUGUAAUAUGGGGAUCAUUAUAGCAUCUUAUGUCAUAGGGGUGUUGUGAGGAUCAAUAAGACAAUAUCUGUAAAGCACUUAGCAAAGUGUCUGGAACAUAAUAGACACUUCAGAAAUGUUUGUUCCUUUCCUUGCUGUCUUUGAACAAGCAAACUUACAUAAAACAUUAGAAAUGAUGGCCUUCGUUCAAAGAUAUAGGUGCAUAUUAGUCUAAUUAUUUAUUUUAAAAUCUAAAUAGAACAUGGCAAGAGUCAGGAAAUUUAAGUUCUAGUCCUGGCUUAGCCACAAUCUGUGUGAUCAUUGGCAAGGCAUUUAGUUCCUCUGGGACUUAAUUUCUUUUUGCGUGAAAAUGGAAGAAUUAAAUGACUGCAAAAGUCCCACUACCCAAGCUUGACUAGUGUAACAUUCUAUGAUGAUGAAGCGUGAUACUCUCCCUUCAUUGUUUCCCUCAACUGGAAGUAUAUUUGGUAGGAAGUGUCGUUCUUUAUCUGUGCAUUCCAAGGUUUGAAAAUGAAUUGGCUAAAAUCUAUAUAAAAACAGAAUGAAAAUGAGGAAAUUUCUUAUUUUGGUAAAUGAUAUGGAAUUUCCUGAAUUUUAACAGUUAUAUCCAGUCAUUUUCCAUUAUAUCUCUAGGGUCUAAGACCCUACUGCCACUUUUUAUACAUAUAAAAAACUUUGACUGUUUUUUUGCCCAAACCUGUGACUCUGUAGAGCACUUCUGGGUUGAAAAGAACUAACUCUACUAAAUCAACAUACAUUUAUUAAGUGCCUACUCUGGGCCAGCAACUGUGAUCCCACACCAAGAGACACCAGCAACUAUUAAGCAAUUUAUGGGUUUAGAACAGUUUCUAGUGUGUCUGUGUGUGUGUGUGUGUGUGUGUGUGUGUGUGAGAGAGAGAGAGAGAGAAAUUCUUUGCUAAUGGGACAAACCUUUGGAACCCUUCUCAGGAUGUUUUUAAAUGGACAAACAAAAGGAACCAAAUCAGGUUAUUUUUUUAAAAAUGAGUUCUUAGAGUUGAAUUGAUGAAUUUCUGCUUUAAAGAGUUACCUGUGACUUGCCCAGGGGCCAUGCAACCUAUAUAUAUAUUGGGCUCAAACCCAAGCUCUUCUUGACUCCAAGUCCAGUUGCAUGUUAUGUCACACUACUUGUUAUGACAUAAAAAGAAUGUGUUGUCUAGAGUAGCUGAAAAGGGGGGAUGUGAAUUGCAUGUUAAUUUUUGAUACUUCUGAAAGGAAGCAAAGUGGUAAGAAUAAUGGUCUUGAGUGUUCUAUUGGUAUCCUGCCCUGUGACCAUGGCAAGUCACUUUAAGCUCUCAGGCUCAGUUUCCUUAUAUAUAAAAUGGGAAUGAUGAGAACACCUGCCUUAAGAUUAUUGCGAGGAUCGAAUUAAAUGAUAAUAUGUAAAGUGCUUUGCAAACCUUAAAACUAUAUACAAACUAUAUACAUGUACUAGUCAAACUCAAUUUUUUGAGAACAUAAUCUUCAAAUUAUUCAAGAAUUGUUUAUCUAAUUAAUGAUUAUCGAGGUGCCUAAGAUUUUCUAUAUUUUUAUGCUCUUUUUUUCUUAAAGUAGGAUGGACUAGAAGGGAAAAAAGAAAUAACAUUCCAGCCAUUUGUUUUGGAACUUAGCAGCUUUGAUGUUUAUAGCUGGUAAAACAAAUAUUCAAAACCAAAAUUUUUUUGUAAGUAAUCUAUUAUGGAAUUGGUUAAAAUAGGAAGAUGGUUUAGUAAGGUUGGUAAUAGUCCCUGCAUAUGGAUUAUCUGGGUUAAGUCCAACUUCCAUUAUUAUCUGAUUUGCUGUGUCUGGCAUUAGCAGCAUGUAUAUUGGUGCACAAUAAACAUUGUUUGAUAAUGGCAAAACUAUCAGAUUUCAGAUUCCUAGAGUCAGAUAUUAAUAUCGACAAUCCAUUUCAGACAUUGUGUACUCUUUGAAAGAAUUUAAUUUAGUAAUAAAUGUAUCAAGCUCCUUAUGUGCAAGGCUGGAGACCUUAUAUUCUGAUAAAGGGCUGUACGUGGAGUCUGGAAAGCUUGGUUCUAAGUCUUCCCUUUUUUUAAUACUGGUUGUAUAACUGGACAAGUCAUUUAAUCCCUCAGGGCCUCCAGGCGAAAUCUCUAAGGCUGCAAAUGACAGAAGAAUUGUUGCUACCUGUGAAAGUUUUUUCACUGAUUUCCCUAUCACAAUGAAAUCAUAGGUUUGGACAUAAUGUUCUGAAUGCUGGGUUUAUAAAAAUAAUACUUUCCCUGCCCUACAGGAAGUUCUAGUAGAAAAGGGAAGAAUGGAGGGAAUGUAUGUGGAAUAUUUUUUUUCCAGUCUAAAACUGGUUUAAAUGAGGAAUAAAGAUUCUGGAAGUGAAUCUGUGAUUUCAUGAAUACAGGCAAUUCCCAGCUGAGGAAAUUUCCUGUUAUUGUAGGUCAGCUAUUUAGUGCCUUAGAGAUUUGCUUAUAACACUGAGAGAGUGAAGUGAUUUGCCUUGUAUCACACAACCCUUAUAUGUCAAAUAUGGCUGGUUCCAAGACCUAACUCUAUCCACUAUGCCAUGUUGGUUUAACUUGGCUUAAAUUAGUUUCACCAUGGAGGAAGUGAAGAACUUUUUUACUUUUGUCAUAAUUCAUGAUCAGAAAGCCCACCUAUUACAGUCAUGAUUUACCCUUUUAUUUGCUUUCCUGUUUUCCUGUCAUGCAACUAUUGGACUUAAAAUUAAAAUGUUAACACUG
Molecule: RNA transcript, 12077 nt
Organism: Antechinus flavipes (yellow-footed antechinus)
Lineage: Eukaryota; Metazoa; Chordata; Mammalia; Dasyuromorphia; Dasyuridae
Gene: PSME4
Gene name: proteasome activator subunit 4
Exons: 48
Source: RefSeq, a predicted model, not a curated record